RNAcentral lists this ribosomal RNA (240 nucleotides) under uncultured bacterium. Its description in RNAcentral is "partial 16S ribosomal RNA". It matches the Rfam family "Bacterial small subunit ribosomal RNA", at positions 96 to 334 of the family's 1533-position model. The record is from RNAcentral.
CGGCGAACGGUCGCGUAACACGUAAGCAACCUGCCCCGAAGACCGGGACAACACUUCGAAAGGGGUGCUAAUACCGGAUGUGACCGCUUCCUGACAUCGGGAGGCGAUUAAAUCCCUUGUGGGCUUCGGGAGGGGCUUGCGGCCUAUCAGCUAGUUGGUGGGGUAACGGCCUACCAAGGCGACGACGGGUAGCUGGUCUGAGAGGAUGGUCAGCCGGACUGGGACUGAGAUACGGCCCAG